CUACUGAUGUAAGACAUAAUUGGCUUUAACAAAGUUGCUAACAUUUUUCAUAAACUCCGUGAAAGCCAGAUACUCUCUGUAUGCCAUCACGUCCGCUUCACACCGCACCAACAGAGACGGCAAAAACAGCCACAGCCCCGUCACCCCCACAAACAUCAUUGCUAAUGGCCCCGACACAGCGGCAGGCAACCGCCAUUUACCCGCAAACGCCUGCUUGAGCAUAAUCUCAACGGCCAAACACACCCCGUGGAGUAGAAAGAAGCACGUGAGCUCCCACGUGGGCUUCGUUCGUCCAAUGUAAUAGAAGAUCAGCUCAUGCAUCACCGCAGACACGAAAAAGGACGCGAGCACAGCUGGCAGCGGAGCCCACCUGUUCCCGAUCACGCGUCUGGAGAUGCUCCGGACGGGGUCGUAUACGGUAGGGUGCAGGAUUCUACUGACCAUGAUGUUCCACCUUCGUCCCCAGAAGUCCUGGAGUGACGUGGCCAGGUAAGGCUCGUCGAACUGCGGCUCGAAAUCGACACCGAGGAAGGCUUGAGCCAAGGAAGCAACUAAUGCCAUGACAAGUUCAAGGCCAGUGUACAUGUAGAUUGAGUAGAGGAAGAGUAUGAUUUUUGGGUGGAUAUAUUGUUUGUUGUGGAAAACGUGUAGAGAUGUGGCAAGGAUCAAAGCUUUGAUCGCAUAGUUAAAAGGAGAUUUCUGGCCUCUUGGGGCAGAUGUUGAAGACCCUGAUUUUAUUUUGUUCUCAACUUUUCGGAAUUUGAUUGGAAGGCAAGCCAAGGGGAUGAAAUGGGAGAUGCAGAUGGGUGGGGUGGUAGAGAGAGGGCCUUUGCCAUAGGCAAAGAGUAGGAGCUUGAAGUUGGCAAGCCAGGCAAGAAAGAAAGAGGAAGGGCCUCCAAGGCAAAUGGAGGUGAGAUUGAGAGGAAGGAAGAAGAAGAAAGAUAUGACCGGAAGUAUGGCAAGGAGCCUGGUUAAACCAGGAGAAGUGAGCUUACCUAUGGUGUGACAGUAGGACAGUGAAGCCACAGCUAAGAUCCAUACCAUGAUGAAGUUGGGUAUUUCUCCUUCCAUUUUUCUUUGCUUGCUUAAAUUUGAUUUCUUAAUUGUGUGUUGUGGUGGUGAGAGAUAUUUGAGAGAGAGAGAGAGAGAGAGAGAGAGAGAGAGAGA
RNAcentral lists this long non-coding RNA (1167 nucleotides) under Prunus dulcis (almond). Its description in RNAcentral is "sRNA ncRNA". Lineage: Eukaryota; Viridiplantae; Streptophyta; Magnoliopsida; Rosales; Rosaceae. The record is from RNAcentral.